GACGAACGCUGGCGGCGUGCUUAACACAUGCAAGUCGUACGGUAAGGCCCUUUCGGGGGUCCACGAGUGGCGAACGGGUGAGUAACACGUGAGUAACCUGCCCACAACUUUGGGAUAACGCUAGGAAACUGAUGCUAAUACUGGAUAUGUGCUCCUGCUGCAUGGUGGGGGUUGGAAAGCUCCGGCGGUUGUGGAUGGACUCGCGGCCUAUCAGCUUGUUGGUGGGGUAGUGGCCUACCAAGGCGGCGACGGGUAGCCGGCCUGAGAGGGUGACCGGCCACAUUGGGACUGAGAUACGGCCCAGACUCCUACGGGAGGCAGCAGUGGGGAAUAUUGCACAUUGGGCGCAAGCCUGAUGCAGCAACGCCGCGUGCGGGAUGACGGCCUUCGGGUUGUAAACCGCUUUCAGCAGGGACGAAGCUUUUUGUGACGGUACCUGCAGAAGAAGCACCGGCUAACUACGUG
This 465-nucleotide ribosomal RNA is filed under the name uncultured bacterium. RNAcentral's name for it is "partial 16S ribosomal RNA". It matches the Rfam family "Bacterial small subunit ribosomal RNA", at positions 28 to 507 of the family's 1533-position model. The record is from RNAcentral.